RNAcentral lists this ribosomal RNA (521 nucleotides) under uncultured bacterium. RNAcentral's name for it is "partial 16S ribosomal RNA". It matches the Rfam family "Bacterial small subunit ribosomal RNA", at positions 355 to 864 of the family's 1533-position model. The record is from RNAcentral.
UGGGGAAUAUUGCACAAUGGGCGCAAGCCUGAUGCAGCCAUGCCGCGUGUGUGAAGAAGGCCUUCGGGUUGUAAAGCACUUUCAGCGAGGAGGAAGGUGGUGAGCUUAAUACGCUCAUCAAUUGACGUUACUCGCAGAAGAAGCACCGGCUAACUCCGUGCCAGCAGCCGCGGUAAUACGGAGGGUGCAAGCGUUAAUCGGAAUUACUGGGCGUAAAGCGCACGCAGGCGGUUUGUUAAGCCAGAUGUGAAAUCCCCGGCUCAACCUGGGAACUGCAUUUGAAACUGGCAAGCUAGAGUCUCGUAGAGGGGGGUAGAAUUCCAGGUGUAGCGGUGAAAUGCGUAGAGAUCUGGAGGAAUACCGGUGGCGAAGGCGGCCCCCCUGGACGAAGACUGACGCUCAGGUGCGAAAGCGUGGGGCAGCAAACAGGAUUAGAUACCCUGGUAGUCCACGCUGUAAAACGAUGUCGAUUUUGGAGGUUGUGCCCCUUGAGGCGUGGCUUCCGGAGCUAACGCGUUAAA